AGAGUGGCGGACGGGUGAGUAACGCGUAGGUGAUCUACCUUAAAGUGGGGGGAGUAGCCCCGGGAAACCGGGAUUAAUACCGCAUGUGAUCUUCGGAUUAAAGACGGCCUCUGUUUCAAGCUGUCGCUUUGAGAUGAGCCUGCGUCCUAUUAGCUAGUUGGUAAGGUAAAAGCUUACCAAGGCGAUGAUAGGUAGGCGGCUUUGACGAGUGGUCGCCCACACUGGGAUUGAGAUACGGCCCAG
This 243-nucleotide ribosomal RNA is filed under the name uncultured bacterium. RNAcentral's name for it is "partial 16S ribosomal RNA". It matches the Rfam family "Bacterial small subunit ribosomal RNA", at positions 92 to 334 of the family's 1533-position model. The record is from RNAcentral.